This 449-nucleotide ribosomal RNA is filed under the name uncultured organism. RNAcentral describes it as "partial 16S ribosomal RNA". It matches the Rfam family "Bacterial small subunit ribosomal RNA", at positions 334 to 799 of the family's 1533-position model. The record is from RNAcentral.
CACUCCUGCGGGAGGCAGCAGUGGGGAAUAUUGGACAAUGGGCGCAAGCCUGAUCCAGCCAUGCCGCGUGAGUGAUGAAGGCCCUAGGGUUGUAAAGCUCUUUCACCGGUGAAGAUAAUGACGGUAACCGGAGAAGAAGCCCCGGCUAACUUCGUGCCAGCAGCCGCGGUAAUACGAAGGGGGCUAGCGUUGUUCGGAUUUACUGGGCGUAAAGCGCACGUAGGCGGACUAUUAAGUCAGGGGUGAAAUCCCGGGGCUCAACCCCGGAACUGCCUUUGAUACUGGUAGUCUUGAGUUCGAGAGAGGUGAGUGGAAUUCCGAGUGUAGAGGUGAAAUUCGUAGAUAUUCGGAGGAACACCAGUGGCGAAGGCGGCUCACUGGCUCGAUACUGACGCUGAGGUGCGAAAGCGUGGGGAGCAAACAGGAUUAGAAACCCGUGUAGUCCCAUG